AUGGCGCUGACCCGUGGGUUCAUCUUCCUCUUCCCCGCCGCCGUCCUGGCCGGACUCGCCUCCGCCUCCGCGUCGCCCUUCCUGUCUGAUAACGUAUUCCAGGCCAGCACCGGAUCUACAGGGAGGAGUUUGCUGCAGACCAAUAAUGGCUGCCCUAUGAGCUUUGAGUCCCAGGACUACACAAUCAUCACAAGCAGGUGCAAAGCGCCACAGUAUCCUCCUAAAGAAUGCUGUGAUGCUUUCAAGGAAUUUGCAUGCCCAUUUGCCGUCUACAUCAACAAUCAAAGCACCAACUGUGCAGACGCUAUGUUUUCCUACAUCAACUUCCAUGGCUCGUACCCAGCAGGCCUAUUCGGCGCUGAGUGCGUCAAAGGGAAGGAAGGGGUUUCCUGCGAAGGCGUCCCAGGGAAAGGCACCGGCGUGGCAAGUGGCGGGCGGCGAGCUCAAGGGAGUUCCCGUUCUUUGGUUCCUAUCUUGUGUGGACUAGAAGCACUGUUGUUCCAUUGA
RNAcentral lists this ribosomal RNA (507 nucleotides) under Triticum aestivum (bread wheat). RNAcentral describes it as "partial small subunit ribosomal RNA". The record is from RNAcentral. Lineage: Eukaryota; Viridiplantae; Streptophyta; Magnoliopsida; Poales; Poaceae.